Molecule: transfer RNA, 76 nt
Filed under: Desulfovibrio sp. An276
Lineage: Bacteria; Pseudomonadati; Thermodesulfobacteriota; Desulfovibrionia; Desulfovibrionales; Desulfovibrionaceae
Also listed under: 1 other name
Description: tRNA-Phe
Rfam family: tRNA
About the family: Transfer RNA (tRNA) molecules are approximately 80 nucleotides in length.
Source: RNAcentral
GCCGAGGUAGCUCAGUUGGUAGAGCGAGGGACUGAAAAUCCCUGUGUCGGCAGUUCGAUUCUGUCCCUCGGCACCA